CUGAACUGUGAACUCUCUCGCUUCGGUGGUCUUCGAUAAUCGUUCCUUUGGUCACACUUCAGUUCCUAUCAACGGAGGCCACAUUCUGGUGAGGCAACGUUUGAAUAGUUAAAGUCUCAACAACCAGCUCUGAUUACCUUACACGCCGCUAACUCGUUUUUCAGUUGUUCCAGUCAUUCUCUGACUAUUUCUGGGCUGUCUCCUCUCUUUACAUCAAGCGGCAGAAAAAUAAAAAGAGAUCAUAAGAGUCAAGAGUCGGUGAAGAUCCAUUAUUCAUGUAUUUUGUGAAGGCUAUAUUAGUUUAUUCUGUGAUGUAUCCACAGUAGAGAGACCAAAAAGGAUACAUAAGGAAGUUAUGGAAUAAGAUCUAAUGAUGAAUAAUGUUUCUGUAAAAGUUAUUUUUUUAUUGCACACAGGUAUUCUCAGGUACUUUCCUAUUAGAGACAAUUAUGUUCGAGGUACUAUUGAGCAUUAAAUGUGGGUAUUUUUCUGUGUGGGGAUUUGACAAUUAGUUUGUCACUUUGUGAAGAACUAGUUCCUUUUGUUAGACUCAACCCUUAUUGAUUGUUGAUUGAACUCAAUAACAGUUACACGAUCUA
Long non-coding RNA from Prosopis cineraria, 599 nucleotides. RefSeq lists it as uncharacterized. NCBI's taxonomy places the organism in Eukaryota, Viridiplantae, Streptophyta, Magnoliopsida, Fabales, Fabaceae. The record is from RefSeq and is a predicted model, not a curated record. The transcript has 2 exons.